UAUUAUGGUGGAUUGAAAGGGUGGCCAAUGUUCGCAGAACUGGCCAAGAUGAUGAGAAAACUGUCAACAAAAAUCGAUCAAUGGGGCGUAAAACAGAAGGACCUGCAAAAAUGUAGGGAAAACUUUAUCACGCAGUGAGUAGUUUGAAGAUAACUUGUUUCUUGUGAGGUCUGUCACGUUUGGCAGAAUCCCACAGAGGCUCAUUGACGCGCCUUUUCUUUAAGAAAAAUGCACACCAUGAACUGCAUUGUCCACCGUUUGACGGGAUUCACGUUUGGUACAACGCUCUGAUCUCGAGACAUGAUGCACAACUCCGAUGUACGCCUAAUGUUUCCCAUGUUGUGUCCAAUGUAUGUUGGCCCACCCUACUGGUGUCCGUGCAGUGUGGUUCUGCUUCGUCCGUGCAGUGUGGUUCUGCUUCGUCCGUGCAGUGUGGUUCUGCUUCGUCUGUGCAGUGUGGUUCUGCUUCGUCUGUGCAGUGUGGUUCUGUUUCGUCUGUGCAGUGUGGUUCUGCUUCGUCUGUGCAGGGUGGUUCUGGUUCCGUUUCGUCUGUAUCGUUGGGUUCUGUGCAUUGUGGUUCUAUUGUCUAUGUGACGGGAUUCUGCGCAGUGGUUCUAUUCUGCUCAGUGUGGUUCUAUUGUCUGUGUAAUGGCGUUAUGUGCAGUGUGAUGGGGUUCUGUGCAGUGUGGUUGUAUUCUGUGGUUCCUUUUUGUCCAGCGCUCCAUUUGCCAAUCCAAUGGAUAAUCUCCUUGAGUCAAACAUACAAAUUUCCUUGACGAAUUUUUGCGUUGAUAUAUUUUGAAUUUGUGUAUUUUACCAAGGUCAUCUGAAGAGAUUGGAGGAUUUUUAUACAACUCCGAUGUACGCCUUAUGUUUCCCAUUUUGUGUCCGAUACUUGUUGGCCCACCCUACUGGUGUGCCUGUGCAGUGGGGUUCUGCUUCGUCGGUGCAGUGUGGUUCUGUGCAGUGUGGUUCUAUUCUGUAUAAUUGGUUUUGAUGCAGUGUGUGUGGUUCUAUUGUGUGACGGGAUUCUGUGCAGUUCUAUUCUGUGCCGUGUGGUUCUAUUGUCUGUGUAAUGGCGUUAUGUGCAGUGUGAUGGGGUUCUAUGCAGUGUGGUUGUCGUCUGUGGUUCCUUUUUGUCCAGCGCUCCAUUUGCCAAUCCAAUGGAUAAUCUUUGAGUCAUGCGCACAAAUUUCCUUGACGAAUUUCUGCAUUGAUAUAUUUUGAAUUUGUAUUUACCAAGGCCCUCUGAAGAGAUUGGGCGAUUUUUUACAAACACCGCCAAAGGCAAGUGAAGUUUACCACUUUUCUUCCCAAUUCAUUGAGACCCUGGAGCUUUGAUGGGAUGUUUUCACCAUGUAUAUUUUGUGUUGUCAGGAUUCCCCAACAACCAUCUCGCUAGAUUCAAGUCAGGCUGGCCUUCCUAAUGUGUUCUGAUGACUACAAUGGACGGUCCUGAAGGACUGGAGCUGUGGGUGGAAGAGAGCCUGGAGGGCUCCAGAUGUGGAGGACCGGGAGGCGUCCAGAUGUUGAAGACAGGAAGAUCUGGUCUACAGAUGCGGAGGAUAACAUCCUUUUAAUUUCAUCCUUUUAAUUUCUUUCUUGGUCAAAUUUAGUUUGACUCAUGACAGCACUCUGUACUGGUGACUUGGUGUUAGAUCUUCUGGCUCUGUACUGGUGACUUGGUGUUUGAUCCUGACUGGUGUUUUAACUUUCAGACGUGACCGAUGAGGUGGGCGUUCAUCUGGUGACUGCUCCCAGGAAGAGGGCUAGCUCCUCCUACGGCAAGGGGGCGGUGGCUGGACCCGGACCAGGGGCGGUGGCUGGACCCGGACCAGGGGCGGUGGCUGGACCCGGACCAGGGGCAGUGGCUGGACCCGGACCAGGGGCGGUGGCUGGACCUCGACCUGGACCAGUGGCGGUGGCUGGACCAGGAGCAGCACAGCAGCUUGAAGACGUGGACGUGGACCCUGGUGAGAGGCUUCUAGUCUGGAUUAUGUUUAGACAACAGAUCCAUCUUAAACCGUACUUUCUGCGUUAUGAAGGGACUUCAAGAAGCUCUCAGUCAAGCUUGACAAAUCUACUGUGACAAAUGUUGUCCAUCACUGUUCUUAUGGCCAAGAAGUAAAGGUUUUAGUGAGUUUUCUAAUGCUGCACGGGUUGCUGUCCAUCAUGCUCUUUCAUGGCCUUCUUUAUCAUUGUUUAAGCAUGCACUAACCCUAACCUUCACGUUAUUAUUUCUGCCUCAGGGCUCAAAGUUUCUUCAUCUUUAAGAGGACGGACGACCUGGUGGCCGACAGGAGUAGAGGGACACCGCUGGCAACUAACCCUAGACCUAGACCACCUAAACUAGACUUAAACCAUCUAACCCCUCAACCUAAACUAGACUUAAACCAUCUAACUCCUCAACCUAAACUAGACUUAAACCAUCUAAUCCCUCAACCUAAACUAGACUUAAACCAUCUAACCCCUCAACCUAAACUAGACUUAAACCAUCUAACCCCUCAGCCUAACCUAGGACCUAAACUUAACCAUCGGUAACCUAGGACCUAAACUUAACCCUAAACCGUACCAUUUAAAACAUCCUUAAUUAUUCUUAAUCACUUCGCAAUAUUAAACUAGCUUACCAAUAUUAAACUAGCUCACCCUAAAGCCUAACGUGUCCCUCGGUCUGUCCUGCAACAGACGGUGCAGAGAACCAGCUCCUGUUGUCGACCCAAACAAGUCUACUGGAGCAGUGACCUCCGCCCCAGCAUGACGACCCUGGGAUCCAACGACACACCUGUAUGCACCCAUGUGUACCAAACCCACCUAUUGUACUCCUUACACCCCUAGAAUCACACAUUCACUGGGAUUACACUGAUUUACUUCAUCCAG
Long non-coding RNA from Gadus macrocephalus (Pacific cod), 2877 nucleotides. RefSeq lists it as uncharacterized. Lineage: Eukaryota; Metazoa; Chordata; Actinopteri; Gadiformes; Gadidae. The record is from RefSeq and is a predicted model, not a curated record. The transcript has 7 exons.